GACGAACGCUGGCGGCGUGCUUAACACAUGCAAGUCGAACGGUGAGGCAGAGCUUGCUCUGCGGAUCAGUGGCGAACGGGUGAGUAACACGUGAGUAACCUGCCCCUGACUCUGGGAUAAGCGUUGGAAACGACGUCUAAUACCGGAUACGACCUGAGGUGGCAUCUUCUCGGGUGGAAAGAACUUCGGUUGGGGAUGGACUCGCGGCCUAUCAGCUUGUUGGUGAGGUAAUGGCUCACCAAGGCGACGACGGGUAGCCGGCCUGAGAGGGUGACCGGCCAGACUGGGACUGAGACACGGCCCAGACUCCUACGGGAGGCAGCAGUGGGGAAUAUUGCACGAUGGGCGCAAGCCUGAUGCAGCAAUGCCGCGUGUAUGAAGAAGGCCUUCGGGUUGUAAAGUACUUUCAGCGGGGAGGAAGGCGGUGGAGUUAAUAACUUCACCGAUUGACGUUACCCGCAGAAGAAGCACCGGCUAACUCCGUGC
Molecule: ribosomal RNA, 486 nt
Filed under: uncultured bacterium
Lineage: Bacteria
Description: partial 16S ribosomal RNA
Rfam family: Bacterial small subunit ribosomal RNA
Source: RNAcentral